CCCUUAGAUGUUCUGGGCCGCACGCGCGCUACACUGACGAAUGCAACGAGCUUAUAACCUUGGCCGAAAGGUCUGGGUAAUCUCCAAAUUUCGUCGUGAUGGGGAUAGAUUAUUGCAAUUAUUAAUCUUCAACGAGGAAUGCCUAGUAAGCGCAAGUCAUCAGCUUGCGUUGAUUACGUCCCUGCCCUUUGUACACACUGCCCGUCGCUCCUACCGAUUGAAUGGUCCGGUGAAGCGUUCGGACCGUGGCCUUUGGACGGUUCGCCGUCUGUUGGCUGCGGGAAGUUCGUUAAACCUUAUCAUUUAGAGGAAGGAGAAGUCGUANCA
This 327-nucleotide ribosomal RNA is filed under the name uncultured eukaryote. RNAcentral describes it as "partial 18S ribosomal RNA". It matches the Rfam family "Eukaryotic small subunit ribosomal RNA", at positions 1470 to 1796 of the family's 1831-position model. The record is from RNAcentral.